This 84-nucleotide transfer RNA is filed under the name Trithuria lanterna. RNAcentral describes it as "tRNA-Tyr". It matches the Rfam family "tRNA". From Rfam's summary of the family: Transfer RNA (tRNA) molecules are approximately 80 nucleotides in length. The record is from RNAcentral. Lineage: Eukaryota; Viridiplantae; Streptophyta; Magnoliopsida; Nymphaeales; Hydatellaceae.
GGGCCGAUGCCCGAGCGGUCAAUGGGGACGGACUGUAAAUUCGUUGGCGAUUUGCCUACGCUGGUUCAAAUCCAGCUCGGCCCA